CAGCAGCCACGGUAAUACGAAGGGUGCAAGCGUUACUCGGAAUUACUGGGCGUAAAGCGUGCGCAGGCGGUUUGUUAAGACAGAUGUGAAAUCCCCGGGCUUAACCUGGGAACUGCAUUUGUGACUGGCCGGCUAGAGUAUGGCAGAGGGAGGUGGAAUUCCACGUGUAGCAGUGAAAUGCGUAGAUAUGUGGAGGAACACCGAUGGCGAAGGCAGCCUCCUGGGCCAAUACUGACGCUCAUGCACGAAAGCGUGGGGAGCAAACAGGAUUAGAUACCCGAGUAGUCCCUGUCUCUUAUAC
This 301-nucleotide ribosomal RNA is filed under the name uncultured bacterium. Its description in RNAcentral is "partial 16S ribosomal RNA". It matches the Rfam family "Bacterial small subunit ribosomal RNA", at positions 509 to 807 of the family's 1533-position model. The record is from RNAcentral.